GUGCCUAACACAUGCAAGUCGAACGAAGCACCUUACCUGAUUCUUCGGAUGAAGGUCUGGUGACUGAGUGGCGGACGGGUGAGUAACGCGUGGGUAACCUGCCCUGUACAGGGGGAUAACAGUUGGAAACGGCUGCUAAUACCGCAUAAGCGCACGAGAGGACAUCCUCUUGUGUGAAAAACUCCGGUGGUACAGGAUGGGCCCGCGUCUGAUUAGCUGGUUGGCAGGGUAACGGCCUACCAAGGCGACGAUCAGUAGCCGGUCUGAGAGGAUGAACGGCCACAUUGGAACUGAGACACGGUCCAAACUCCUACGGGAGGCAGCAGUGGGGAAUAUUGCACAAUGGGGGGAAACCCUGAUGCAGCAACGCCGCGUGAGUGAAGAAGUAUUUCGGUAUGUAAAGCUCUAUCAGCAGGGAAGAUAAUGACGGUACCUGACUAAGAAGCUCCGGCUAAAUACGUGCCAGCAGCCGCGGUAAUACGUAUGGAGCAAGCGUUAUCCGGAUUUACUGGGUGUAAAGGGUGCGUAGGUGGCAGUGCAAGUCAGAUGUGAAAGGCCGGGGCUCAACCCCGGAGCUGCAUUUGAAACUGCAUAGCUGGAGUACAGGAGAGGCAGGCGGAAUUCCUAGUGUAGCGGUGAAAUGCGUAGAUAUUAGGAGGAACACCAGUGGCGAAGGCGGCCUGCUGGACUGUUACUGACACUGAGGCACGAAAG
This 714-nucleotide ribosomal RNA is filed under the name uncultured Lachnospiraceae bacterium. RNAcentral describes it as "bacterial SSU rRNA". It matches the Rfam family "Bacterial small subunit ribosomal RNA", at positions 44 to 759 of the family's 1533-position model. Lineage: Bacteria; Bacillati; Bacillota; Clostridia; Lachnospirales; Lachnospiraceae. The record is from RNAcentral.